GACAGAGGGUGCAAACGUUGUUCGGAAUUACUGGGCGUAAAGCGCUUGUAGGCGGUCGUGCAAGUCGGGUGUGAAAGCCCGGGGCUCAACCCCGGAAGUGCAUUCGAUACUGCAUGGCUAGAGUACCGGAGAGGGUGGUGGAACUCUGGGUGUAGAGGUGAAAUUCGUAGAUAUCCAGAAGAACACCGGUGGCGAAAGCGGCUCUCUGGAACGGUACUGACGCUGAGACGCGAAAGCGUGGGGAGCGAACAGG
This 253-nucleotide ribosomal RNA is filed under the name uncultured bacterium. RNAcentral describes it as "partial 16S ribosomal RNA". It matches the Rfam family "Bacterial small subunit ribosomal RNA", at positions 524 to 776 of the family's 1533-position model. The record is from RNAcentral.